Molecule: ribosomal RNA, 286 nt
Filed under: Lactobacillus sp.
Lineage: Bacteria; Bacillati; Bacillota; Bacilli; Lactobacillales; Lactobacillaceae
Description: partial 16S ribosomal RNA
Rfam family: Bacterial small subunit ribosomal RNA
Source: RNAcentral
GCACACCGCGUGAGUGAGAGGGUUUCGGCUCGUAAAGCUCUGUUGUUAAAGAAGAACACGUAUGAAAGUAACUGUUCAUACGUUGACGGUAUUUAACCAGAAAGUCACGGCUAACUACGUGCCAGCAGCCGCGGUAAUACGUAGGUGGCAAGCGUUAUCCGGAUUUAUUGGGCGUAAAGAGAGUGCAGGCGGUUUUCUAAGUCUGAUGUGAAAGCCUUCGGCUUAACCGGAGAAGUGCAUCGGAAACUGGAUAACUUGAGUGCAGAAGAGGGUAGUGGAACUCCAU